CAGCAGCCGCGGGAAUACGGAGGGUGCAAGCGUUAAUCGGAAUUACUGGGCGUAAAGCGCACGCAGGCGGUCUGACAAGUCAGAUGUGAAAUCCCCGGGCUUAACCUGGGAACUGCAUUUGAAACUGUCAGGCUGGAGUCCUGUAGAGGGGGGUGGAAUUCCAGGUGUAGCGGUGAAAUGCGUAGAGAUCUGGAGGAAUACCGGUGGCGAAGGCGGCCCCCUGGACAAAGACUGACGCUCAGGUGCGAAAGCGUGGGGAGCAAACAGGAUUAGAUACCCGAGUAGUCCCUGUCUCUUAUAC
RNAcentral lists this ribosomal RNA (301 nucleotides) under uncultured bacterium. Its description in RNAcentral is "partial 16S ribosomal RNA". It matches the Rfam family "Bacterial small subunit ribosomal RNA", at positions 509 to 807 of the family's 1533-position model. The record is from RNAcentral.